UAAUAUUAUAACUGGUAAUAACAACAGGUAUUCACUGAGCACUUACUCUGGCCAGGUACUGCACAGAGCACUGUACACAUAUUUCUAAUUAUCCCAUAGACACUAAGGUACAUAUGAAGAGCAUCUCCUUACUAUGAUGGAGAUUUAAAGAUGUUAAUUUGCUCAUAGUCACACAGCUGUCAUUUGUCAGAGUUAAGACUAAGCCAGGGGUUUGCAAUCUCCUUUGGCAUGCAACAGUGAAUUAUGUAAAUGAGGCAGUAUCCAAUUUUUAAUUAAGAUCUUUAUUACUAAAUGUCGGCAUCACCAGCACUAACACAAAGAUAGGCCUGUGAUACUUUUUACAAGAUAUUUGCUGAAUUAGACAUUUUCCUACACUCUCAGCCUGGUAUGAAAAAUACAUACAGGGUUGUAAUAUAAUAUUAAUGGCUGCCUGAAGUGUUGUCAGAACACAAAUAAGGUGGGGAGGAUGGUGUCAGGGGAGGCUUACACAUAGGAUAGGGCAUUUUGAGGAGGGCUUUAAGGACUGAUUAGGAAACUGCUAAGCGUAACAGAAAGAAGUAUGCCAAACAGAGGGACUAGGAGGACCAAAGAUAUAGGUACAGAAAUAUGAGGAAUUCUGCAAAAAUAAUCAGCUUGUAUCAGUGGCUCUCAAAAUUAAGCAUUCAAUGGGAAUCACCUGGAGGCUUGUGAAAUGCCCCAGAGCUUCAGAUUCAGUAGGACUGGGUGAGACCAAGAAUUUGCAUUCCUAAUGAUUCUCAGGUGCUGCUGAUCCUCCUUGUCCCAGGACAACACUGUGUUGAGAGCCCUGUUCUACAGAGAAAGAUGUCUGGAAACCCCAAAGUUUGUGUGUAUCUGAGAGGCGUGCCAAAGCCUGCAAGACUUGCACCAAAAGAAAAUUCCCGGAAGAGAUGAGAAUUUCUUCUCUUUCCUGCGAGAGUGGUGGUUCAAUUUUACUGUUGGUUUUGGGAGCAAUUCAUGCUGAAGCUGUCCAGUGGGAGGAAGCAGGGAAACCACAACUCCGGACUGAAAUGAGGGCACCUGGGAUUUUAUUGCCACUCUGCCCCAUCAGUGCCCCUAUUCACGCGCCACUGAGGGCCUGCGGCUACAGAGGAGGAAGCACACUGGCUCUUUUGUGUUUGCAUCCAACUUGCAGGGACGAUGGCAUUUGUCAGAGCUCUUCCUCCAGUUUUCAUCCUUUGUCCGCUGACCACAGAGCCAUGCGUCAAGUAACGAGAGCCCCACGGACAACAAAUGAGAAAUACCAGAAAAGCGAUGCUUGCCAGCUGUGGGCACCUCAGGCCCAGGCGCCUUUUGAAGUCAAUGGGAGAACUUUGAUGACUCAAGAGGAAGAACAGUAACGAGAAUGGGGUGAGUAGUGGGGCUUCAGACCAAAUCUUUGACACAAAGCUACUUCUCAACAGACUUAUUUCACAAGACAAGUUUAAAUGAUUAUCAGAGACAGGACUAGGGUGAAGUGACUGAGGUAUUUAGGGCAGAAAGCUAGGAAAGCAUUAACUCUCAGAAUUAAACACAUGCAAACACUGAUCCACUUUCUACCAUUAUGUAUUACCUUUACCUUUUCAAAGACUUGGAAUGAAAUUACACCAUGUGUUCUCCUUUGUAUCUGCCUUCUUUCACUAAGCAUGUUUUGAGGUUAAAUCCAUGCUGUCAUAUGUAUCAAUACCUCAUUCUCCUUUAUUGCUUAAGGUUCUGUUUUAUAAAUUUUCAUCCUAUCACAUACCACAUGUUAUAAAUAUACCAUUUCGUAUCUUAUAAUGUACUUUUUUUAUUUAACAUUUCAUAAAUAUACCACACUGUGUUAUCUAUCCAUCUGUUCAUGGGCAUUUCAGUUGUUUCCACUUGUUGCUUAUAAUGGAUAAAGUUGUUGUAGUAUUUGUGUCAAAAUUCUUUUUGUGGACAUUUCUCUUAGGUAAAUGCCUUGGAAUGAAAUUGCUAUUUCAUAGAGUAAGUGUUUAUUUAAGUCAAUUAAAAAAACCUCCCAAAAUGUUUGCUCAAAAAUUUGUAUAGGAGUUCUUGUCGUGGCACAGUGGAAACAAAUCUCACUAGGAACCAUGAGGUUUCGAGUUCAAUCCCUGGCCUCCCUCAGUGGGUUAAGGAUCUGGCAUUGCCAUGAGCUAUGGUGUAGGUAGCAGACGCAGCUCAAUUCCAGAGUUGCUGUGGCUGUGGGAUAGGCAGGCCAGCAGCUAUAGCUCCUAGCCUGGGAAGCUUCAUAUGCCACAGGUGCGGCCCUAAAAAUUCAAAAAAAAAAUUUUGUACAAUUUUACACAACUGUCUGCAGUGUAUGAGAGUUCCAGAUGCUCACCAAUGCUUAUUAUUGUUAGCCAUUUUAAUUUUAGC
RNAcentral lists this long non-coding RNA (2358 nucleotides) under Sus scrofa (pig). Its description in RNAcentral is "lncRNA (ENSSSCG00050039919.1)". Lineage: Eukaryota; Metazoa; Chordata; Mammalia; Artiodactyla; Suidae. The record is from RNAcentral.